This 2032-nucleotide long non-coding RNA is filed under the name Cricetulus griseus (Chinese hamster). Its description in RNAcentral is "lncRNA (ENSCGRG00015037404.1)". The record is from RNAcentral. Lineage: Eukaryota; Metazoa; Chordata; Mammalia; Rodentia; Cricetidae.
GUCUCCAGGCUCCAUGAGGAUGAGAAAACAGAGCCCAAAGGGUAAGGCGUGUGGCCAUGUUUCCACUACUACCAAGCAAGGAACUAGUACUCAGACACAGGACUGUUUGAGGCCAAAGCAUUGUCUUCACAAAUAAAGGACCGUGAAUAGAUACAAUUACCUCAGACGACAUCAGUGAGCAUGGGAUAUCUCAAAGUGACAACCCAUGAGCACAGAAUGCAGAGGAAAAGGACUUUUUUUUUCCCACUACCACAUUUCACUUCAACUCCAUGAGGCUGAGAGAGGGGACAGUCUACAUUCAUGACAUCAGCAUGCAGUAAGGACAAUCAAGUGCUGGAUUGACAGAUGAAGUGUCUGAGCAGAAGAUCCUCUCAGCUUCUCUCCAGCACCAUGUCUGCCUGCAUGCCACAAUGUUCCUCACCAUGAUGAUAAUGGACUAAACCCCUGAAACUGAGAGAGUGAACUCCACAGAAGACACAUGGUCUGUCUGCUUCCCUGCUAAAUCCACGGUAUGAAUGCUUGCAGGGACUGUGUCCCUUCUGGUAAUAAAUAAACAAAGAAUGGAGGGAGAAAACUUGUCUUAUUUUACUUCUUAUUUAUGAAAUCAAACCUUUCUGGAGAAGGAUUACAAGGAUGAAUGCUUGAAGCCAGGGAGACCUGCCGUCACUGGGGAACGCUCAACCUCAGAAGCCAGCAAUUAUUCUCUAUGGCUUCAACAAAGAACAGCUGCCCUUCAGAAGACAGAACCUGGGUGGAGACUUAAGCCAUGAAAAUAAAUAAUCUGGCUGUGUGCAGGGGCCCAAUCUGGAGGCUGAAGCCAAAGGAAGUAGAGUUUUGAGGGCAUUGUGAGUUACAUAGCAUGUUUGAGGCCGGCCGGAGCUACAUGGCACCAGCAGGCUUGAGAGAUGGCCUUACACAAGCAAGAGGAUCUGUCCUCUUCAUUGGGACCUAGACUCAGAAAGAGUUCUGUGACGAAUCCAGCUGACCAAGAAACCUGUGGAGGAGGAAGAGAAGGUAUUCCAAGCAGUGGAGUAAUCUGGGCAAAGUCAUGGAAUGAUGACAAAUUCUGGGACAUAGAGGUGACAGAGUCAGACUCCUGUGUGGUCCCUAUGCUAGUAAGGCAUAAUAGUGACCAGCUGAGAGGUAGACAACCUCAGGUGGUGUUAGACAAACCCAAGUUCAAGAACGGACACUGCACCAGUUCCAUCUUUCUGGCUUCACUCCCUGAAAAGCAAGGGCUGGGAGGAAGAUGGGAAGAAGUAUCCUCUCCCUCAGGGUGCCCUCGGCAAAGAUGGAGGAUAGCACCCAGAAGCUCUGAGGAGGCUUGUGUUUAAAGAGAAAACACUGAAACGGCUGUGUCUUUGCUUCAGCUUGCUUGAACCACAAUAUUUAUUUGGAAUUUGAAACUCAUUAAGAGUGGCUGUGAAGUGUUUACCCAGGGUAACUUGGGUUAUCAAGAGACUGAGAAAGUUUGACUGAAAUGACCCUGAAUCCCUUCUGAGCCUUCAGUGUGCCAGAGGUCUGCAACACAGGAAGCACAGGGAGACACUGUGAGACUUGGAAGUUGCUGUUGGUCUCCAACUCCAGCUCACACUUUGCCAUUCAGUCCCUGUGCAGGUUAAAGUCCUGGGAUAUCUGGAGUGUCAGAUGCUUCCUUCAUAACAACCUGGUAUCACAGACUUGUGGGCUUAUUUCAAAUAAGCAGUACUUGGCACAUAACAGGUCCCAGCCAAGUACAAAGCUGUGCACAAAGCUAGCCAAGGCUUCCCUCAGUAGCCUACUCCUUGGUCAGAAUAAGGUCCUUUUGAAUGCUUCCCAUGGGAUGUUCCCCUGCCCCCAAAUACACUAUCAGGUCUCGUUUAUAAGGAGAUAUAAUGUGGGUUUGGGCCUCAGAAUAUAGCUUCAAUGAAUUUUGGGAAUUUAGGUAUGUGCUUGGAACCACUCCAAGGUUAAAAAUCUUUUAAAAACUAAAGCAUUAUUAAAAUUAUCCUGAAAAUCUUAUCCACUGUGUUUUGAUGUCCAUCCAUUCCCA